UAGCCGUAAACGAUACUCGCUAGGUGUCGGCCACGGUGCGACCGUUGUUGGUGCCGUAGGGAAGCCGUGAAGCGAGCCACCUGGGAAGUACGGCCGCAAGGCUGAAACUUAAAGGAAUUGGCGGGGGGAGCACCACAACGGGUGGAGCCUGCGGUUUAAUUGGACUCAACGCCGGGAAGCUCACCGGAUAAGACAGCGGAAUGAUUGCCGGGCUGAAGACCCUGCAUGACCAGCUGAGAGGUGGUGCAUGGCG
RNAcentral lists this ribosomal RNA (253 nucleotides) under uncultured archaeon. RNAcentral describes it as "partial 16S ribosomal RNA". It matches the Rfam family "Archaeal small subunit ribosomal RNA", at positions 748 to 999 of the family's 1478-position model. The record is from RNAcentral.